This 5914-nucleotide long non-coding RNA is filed under the name Equus caballus (horse). RNAcentral's name for it is "lncRNA (ENSECAG00000029110.3)". The record is from RNAcentral. Lineage: Eukaryota; Metazoa; Chordata; Mammalia; Perissodactyla; Equidae.
GCCAGAUUCCUUUCCCAGCCUUCCUCAACUUUGUGACUGAAUUUUAGCCCAUAGAUUGUGAACAGAAGCUAUGCACGUUACUUUGGAGAUGAGAUGAGUAAGAAGUGGGUACACCUUCUCUCCCCUUUAUGUCUUCCUGCUGAGGGCCAUGAAGCCUAGGAGAGGAAGGAACCCCAAGUUUAAAAGGAUAUGGAUCCUUGAAAUACUUCUUGGAGGACAGCUGCCUGCCAUUCUGAAAUGUUUGCGCCAGCUUCAUCCUUGCCAGGCACCACAUUUCUCUCUCUGAAGUAUGAGAAACCAAGCAAACUCUCCUGAAAUCAGCAUAUUCCAUUGCAAGCGCCCAGCCACUGACAGUCACAUGAGCAGUACGCCGAGCAGCAGAGCGGGUUUUCAAAUAUUCUGGCCAAGAACAGUUCCAAGGGCAGAGCCGAGGCACGCCACGCAGCUCACAUAAAGAAAAUUCCAUGCAUUUUCCACGGGCUGCUUCAAGAUACCCCACAGAAAGAGACCAAGGCGUUGCUGAAUCAAUUCUAGAGACAGGAAGGAACCUCCUAAAAAGAAAUAGCUCUUGGUCUCCUGCAAGGUGAAAUGUGUGCCUCAGAUCUGCAAAUGAAAGAGGAUCACAAACAUAUGGUUAAUGACUCAUCCCAAAUGGAAAAACAGAGUUUGUUAUAUUUUAUGGAGAUUUUACAUGUUGAAGGUACAUCUGUUGCUAUUUAUGCUGACAUGUAUGUAGAGAUUGGCAGACCAAGUCCUCUGUAGGGAUGAGCGAAAUCCAAACCAAACCACAGAACUUUCUAACUUGGAGGCUGGCUCCUGGGAUGGAAAACGGUUUCCUGAUCCCUUGAAACACUGCCCGGCUGAGCAGGGUGACUUGGAGAGGCCCACAUCACAGGACUGCACAGUUGGAUGAAGCAACAAAACGUCCUGCUUUGCUCAGGGCCUCCAGAGAGCGCAGAACAAAGGCAGGAAGCACGAGGGGUGCUGGAGAGCGCGGGGACCAGUCUCACAGCCUUCUCAGGACUCAACGCCUUCUUGGGGGACUGCUUCAGGCAAAAGAGACCACUUCCAUUCUGACACGAACGCACCACCCAGAAUCACACGAAACCUACUCCCUUUAGAUCUGCUAGUGACAUUCUCUAAGAGAAUGUCCAUGUGCUCUCACAGACAUUUUUUUUUUUUCCAGUUGAGAAGCUCCGGAGUACAGGAGAAACAACAGGUAAAUAAGCAACGAUACGACAAGGCUGAAGAGACAAGUGCCCUGAGAGUGUUGUGGGCUGAACGGUGUCCCCCCAAAUUCAUAUGUGGAGGCCCCAACCCCUGGUACCUCAGAAUGUGACCGUAUUUGGAGACAGAGUCUUUAAAGAAGUAAUGAAGUUAAAAUGAGGUCAUUAGGGAGGGCCCUAAUCCAAGUGUCCUUAUAAAAAGAGGCAAUUUGGACAGAGACAAGUACAGAAGGAAGACUGUGUGAGGACACAGGGAAAAGAUGACCAUCUACAACCCAAGGAGACAAGCUUCAGAAGAAACAGCCCUUCUGACACCUUGAUGCUAAAUAUCUAGCCUCCAGAACUGUGAGAAAAUAAAGUCCUAUUGUCUGAGUCACCCAGUCUGUGGUCCUUUGUUAUGGCAGCACAAGCAGAUGAGUGCAAGUCAACCAGAUAACGUGCUCUGAGAAUCCAGAGGUGGAAGAGAAGAUUUUGGUUUGGUGGGAUCAAAAAACAUCGUCUGGAAGAGGGAGCACAUUAAUUAUGGCGUGAGAGAUGGGUAGAGUCUGCUCCUGCACUGACAGCAAGGCUGAAUAAACAGAAUCAGAAGCUCAACUUGCUUAUACAGACCUGCCCAGGGCAGCAUUCGCAGUCCCCAGGGAGUCCUCCACAUCAUCCACGGGGAAGUUCUCCCCACUCUUGUGGCCAGGGCUCCGCCGCGGCAUACACGGUCCUCGCUGUCUGAUCCUUUCCAACAGUCAACUCUACUCCAGAUUCAGAUAACCAUGAUCCUGCCCUCCGGAAGUCAGAAAAGAAUGAAUAACUUUGAACACAUCACAGCAAUAAAAAUAUAAGAAUAAUGCUGGGGUCAUCACAAACAGAGGCAGAUGGUGGUGGCAUUUCCUUCUUGCCGGGAGCUCAGAUAUUAUCUGGAUAGAUUUCAGCAGGCUUUGUGUCCAUUCCCUCUCAGCGCGGGCAGCUUUCCUGGAUAGAGCCCCAGCCACCCAAACGGCAGACAGAUUUGAUUUAACUGCGAUGACUUGUGUAUCGGGUGACUUUGGAUGGUUUAAAACAAUGGCCUGUGGAAUCUACUUACACAGCACUAUGGGAAUGAGGAUGAAGGGUCAUAUCCAUGGUUAAUCCGAUCAAUUGUCUGCUACACACAGAGAAAGAACCGAGCUUGCCUGCAAACUGGCUCAUUCAGGAUGUGAGCACAAGAUGGAAUUCAACCUUUAAUAUGCUGCAACACCUGCUUGGAAAUAAAGGGGCUCUGUGCUUUUCCCCCCAAGGAGUUGACAGCUGACUUCAUUACAGAGGAAUCUGGCAGAGAUGGCCGUGGCUACUCCUCAGCCUCCGGAGGCACUCACCCAGGAAUGCAGUGCCAACCAGACCUGAGCUUUGGGAUUCUGCCAGAAACCCAUGCUGGGCCAUUUUACCCUAAAUCAUUCCUCUUCCUUGAACUCUAGGAGUUUUUCUACCUUUGGUAGAGCUGCCUCCAGACAAGGGAGAUGAGAAGAGGCUCUGGCCUGCUGACGCUAAGUGGAGAAGCAUUUGCAGGUGUUCUCCAAUGGGAUCUGGAUUUUCAAACUUUCUUUCUCAAGGGUUCUGCAAUGUUGCACCCCAACAGGCACAAAGGCAGGGCUGCCAUGCUCUACAGAGUGGAACUUGAAGAUUCAUCAGAGACCUUGUCCAAGAUUUGGAACAGACCCAGCGUUGUUCCAAGGAACCUAACCCAGCCUGUGAGAGACUCCUACAGGCCGUCUCUGGUGCCACAACCUUCCAUUGGGGCUGGAACACUGGUUAUGCUUAUGAGCUUUCAAAGUAGAAUGUCAACCUCAUCACCCAUUUGCAUGAUUUCCAAAGCAUAUUAAUCUGGCUUCCACUAGUAACACAGAAUAUAACAUAUCUUACUUGCAACAGGAAAUAUUUCCUUUCUACUAUUUGCUAUUCUUCAUCAUUAAAAAAAAUCUGUCUGAAAUCUAAAUACCCAGAAAGAGGGGUGGGCUCACAGGGAACACAACCAUUUGGUGGAUCACUGCUCAACCUGAAGCAACAGAAAUAUGAAGGCCACAGAGCAACUUCAAAACUGCAUUUGAUGCUAAUUUAAAACAAAGUACUACUCAAACUUUCAUAGAUGAAAAUCACAUAAUUUUUAAACAAAUACUUUAAAUAGUCUGAAAUGAGAAAUAAUUGAUGCCAAAGGUCAAAACUGGCAAUCCAAGAGUUGGGUCUGGCCCGAAAGUGUGUCUCAUAUGGCCCACACGGUGGGGGUCAGCUGAGUUUGAAUAAAAAACGGAGUAGGUUGCCAACAUUUAGAAAUUGGCACAUGGCACAUAACCACCCGGAUUGCUGCCUUCUCCUGAGACACUGGGCAAUCUGGCCUCGGCAGGCUGCUUUCCCUCCAGGCAACAGUUGGGGGCAGGUGAUGGGCAUUUGUCAUCCAGGUUGCCAGAGUCCCUGCUGGGCCAGAUUUCUCGCUCAUUGAGUUUGUAAGCCUGGCCCAGGUGCAAGGGUGGUAGGGUUCUGGGUCAUUUUCCCUCUCUCCCCUUCUUCCAAAACUUGCUCUUGGUUAUUAUGCUACUUCAGAGUUAAAAUAAUCAUUAAAUGCCCAGUUGUAAAAGGUAAUGUGGAGGAAGAGAGUCUGAGGCCCAUACUACUUCUCUACUUCUUGGAUGUUAUUUUCACAUUUCUAGCCUUACGCCCAGUGCACUCGCUUGAGAAUGUGAGCGUGGCCCCGUGGUUCUCGAACGUGGCUACACUAGAAUCACCUGGGGCACUUUUGAUGUCCAGCUUGCACUCCAGACCAAUUAAAUCAGACUCUUGGGAAGUGGGAUUCAGGCAACAGAUUUUUAAAGUUCCCAGGUGAUUCCAAUGUAAAAAGGUCCUUGAAAAAAUCAUGGAAAACUUUAUGUUAGAGCAGUUUCUCAAGCUCGUCACUAUUUUCAUUUGGGACCUGAUAAAUCUUAUUUCUGGGGACCAGUCCUAUGGACUGUAGGAUGUUUAGCAGCAUCUCUGGCCUCUACCCAUAGAUGCAGUAGCAUUUCUCCAGAUGAGAACCACGGCAUUCGAUAGUGAAACUAUGGUCAUUUUUUUUUUAAAGAUUUUAUUUUUUUCCUUUUUCUCCCCAAAGACCCCCGGUAGAUAGUUUCUUUGUUGUGGGUCCUUCCAGCUGUGGCAUGUGGGACGCCACCUCAGCGUGGCCUGAUGAGCAGUGCCAUGUCCGCGCCCAGGACUCGAACCAAUGAAACACUGGGCCGCCUGCAGUGGAGUGCGUGAACUUAACCACUCAGCCACGGGGCCAGCCCCCGAAACUGUGGUCAUUGUAUUGGCCACUUGCCUGUAUAUAAGGUCACUGAGAAAUUUCUCUUGGAAUUAAAAUCUAGGAACAAAAUUUUUCUCUUAAGAAAGUGGUUCCCUUUUGUUGUUUUUUUCCCCUUUACUAUCAGGAAGCUCAAAGCCAAUGCUAAAAUGCAUUCAAAACCAAAACUAAAGCAGAAACAAGACAACUACUCCAGUGUGUUUUCUCCCCUCUGCAUGUCUGCCUGAUGCUAAUUUUCCUAUUAACGUUUUGUUAAUCUUUAAGUUGCUUUACAUUCUUAGGGAAUAAAGUAGGAAAUAAAUAUAAAGAAGGUAACAAGCAAAAGGAGGGAAUGACUGUUCCAUGCACUGCUUGGUAUUUAUGACCCAAAGAACAGUUGGUCAUAAGGAAGACCUGCUAAAUUUGAAUGACCUCAUAGUUUUUGGAGGAUCAGCCAGGCAUACAUGGCAAAUAAGGGUCAACCCCUUUAGCCUCCAGCUUUGUCUGGGAAGAGGCUGAGCUAUGGGGGUGUUGAAGGAGCCCAAUGGCCACCAUGUGGUGGCCUCUAGGAGAAUAAGCACAAGCUUCUGUUGUUUCCUGAGAAUGCCACCUCCUGCUGUUUACUAGGAGUCUGGGAAGUGUCUGAGAGGCGAUGCUGUUCAGGGCAACCUGGGAUCCAGCCCUGGGAUAACACCAUCACCUGCUUUCCGUGAAUGAAGAGCAGAUUACUUUUAGUAAAUACAACCACUCAUUAAUAACCCUAAGUUUUAAAGCUUUUAAAGAAAUCAUUAUUAAGUGUGGCUACUUCAUUUUAAAUGCAAAAACCUUGAAUAGACCAGAGAUCUUAAUUUUUUUAAAGAAGCUGAGUAUUUUAAUUAUGAAUGUACUUGCAUAUUCUUAGCAUACUUCAUUAUUUAUGUAGCCGGUGAAAAAGCUUUCUAAUUAAAUAGCAUGCUGGCAAUCCAUUGUGAAAUGUAUAAAUGCAGGUUUUCCUAGCAUUAAAAAACUACACACAAACACACACGAACCAUUCUGGCAAGCACACAUCCUUUAAUCGCUAUGAGAUACUUGUUUCUGAAUGAUCUUAAGCUUUAUCAAACUUUUGUUUUAUUGGUAACAAAAUAAACAGUAUAAUUUGCCAGCACUCUGCAUGGUUAUACACAUUUAAUACAUUCAACUAACUUGGAAAUGGGGUAGCACAGUGGUUCUCAAAGUGCGGUCCCCAUGCCGGGAGCAUCAGCAUCACCUGGGAACUUAUUAGAAAUACAAAAUUUUGAACCCCACCCCCCGCCACCUGAAUCAGCAGUUCUGGGGAUUGGGCCCCACCCUGUCCUGUAACAAGCCCUCCAGGUGAUCCUGAGGCAGGCUAAAGUUUGGGAACCAUGGGGAUGAGGACUAUGCCUUGUGGUGC